This 612-nucleotide ribosomal RNA is filed under the name bacterium AK-21. RNAcentral describes it as "bacterial SSU rRNA". It matches the Rfam family "Bacterial small subunit ribosomal RNA", at positions 57 to 685 of the family's 1533-position model. The record is from RNAcentral.
GCAGUCGACGAUGAUGCCCACUUGUGGGUGGAUUAGUGGCGAACGGGUGAGUAACACGUGAGUAACCUGCCCUUGACUCUGGGAUAAGCCUGGGAAACUGGGUCUAAUACCGGAUAUGACCUUCCAUCGCAUGGUGGUUGGUGGAAAGCUUUUUGUGGUUUUGGAUGGACUCGCGGCCUAUCAGCUUGUUGGUGAGGUAAUGGCUUACCAAGGCGACGACGGGUAGCCGGCCUGAGAGGGUGACCGGCCACACUGGGACUGAGACACGGCCCAGACUCCUACGGGAGGCAGCAGUGGGGAAUAUUGCACAAUGGGCGCAAGCCUGAUGCAGCGACGCCGCGUGAGGGAUGACGGCCUUCGGGUUGUAAACCUCUUUCAGUAGGGAAGAAGCGAAAGUGACGGUACCUGCAGAAGAAGCGCCGGCUAACUACGUGCCAGCAGCCGCGGUAAUACGUAGGGCGCAAGCGUUAUCCGGAAUUAUUGGGCGUAAAGAGCUCGUAGGCGGUUUGUCGCGUCUGCCGUGAAAGUCCGGGGCUCAACUCCGGAUCUGCGGUGGGUACGGGCAGACUAGAGUGAUGUAGGGGAGACUGGAAUUCCUGGUGUAGCGGUNAA